Molecule: long non-coding RNA, 1205 nt
Filed under: Oryzias sinensis (Chinese medaka)
Lineage: Eukaryota; Metazoa; Chordata; Actinopteri; Beloniformes; Adrianichthyidae
Description: lncRNA (ENSOSIG00000021858.1)
Source: RNAcentral
AUGGGAAAUGGUUCUUGCUGGCUUGCACAUGCCCACUGUACAGAAGGGGGUUUUGAAGUAGACCAACAGCAGGAGAGGUGGCGCCAUUUUAGAGCAAAUCCUGCACACAAAAUGGUUGUAAGAGACUUGUUAACCCUUUGUGGUCCACAUUCACCCACACAGUCUCUGCUCCAGUGCCUACAGACAGUUGUGCAGCACAGACUUAAAGCGCAUAGCAAGACGAGGAACUCUGACUGAACCACUACACCUCAGCUGAUAAUCCACCAAGGCGAAAUUUCUGGUUUGUGCCUCACGAAGAUCAACGAAGACGUCGCCAGGCAGAGGACAACUCCUGCCGCUUCCUCCUGACAAACAAAGCCGACUAGUAAAGCCUGCGGAUGGGAUCUGUGAAGUGAUUGUUACUGCAAUACGUAACGUAGCGGAGAAUCUCCGACAGCGGAGCACCUCGGAGCGACAUAGAGCCACAAUCUGGUAAGGGUUCGUGCCGAACCGAUGUUGUUAGCAGCUCUGCACCGAUGCUAGCUUGCUAGCUUCAUGCUACGAGAAGCUAAUGCUCCGAUUAGCAGCUAGCGACUGCGGAAAAGGGGGUAAACACACACGUGGCUGGAGCCGCACAAGGCUUCGGUUUUGUGGUGUUUCCUUCUUUAAGGAAGAUGAGUGUGUUCAAGCGUUUUGUCUCGGUUCGCUUGUCAAAGUUCAGACUGGGUAAACCAAACUAGCAGCGAACUAACCCCAACGCUAAGAGACACGCAUAUCUAUCUUCCAGAAGAUAAUCGUUCGGUUUGUAAUACUAAUCUGAAAGAAAACGUUUAAUAAGAGGUCGGUGGGAAACUCAUUGGAAGCUUUUUUGCUCCAAUAUGAGCAUGUCUGCAGCUUUCUAAAACCCCUACACUUCACACAACAGUAACUGAUAGCCCCUGUCCUGGAUCCUGCGAGGUUUUCACAACUGUGACAUGAGUGAUGUGCUUUUGCUGCUGGGGAUUCUCUCAGAAAACUUUAGGUCACUUUAUCUUUUUAAUCUCUCAAGAGCAAAACAAUUCAUCGUGUCUUGCUGGUCAUGCAGCUGAGAUUUUCCCAUAAUGUCACAUCAGCAGUGGAUGACAGAUAUUCCCUGAUCUGCAUCACCUAUAUAGUAUUUUUUUGGCUUACGCUAAAACCCACGAAGUUCAUGAGAUUGACAGAAAUUUGAAUGUUGAUAAAUUAAG